GGGUCCGAGCGUUAAUCGGAAUUACUGGGCGUAAAGCGUGCGCAGGCGGUUGUGUAAGACAGAUGUGAAAUCCCCGGGCUCAACCUGGGAAUUGCAUUUGUGACUGCACGGCUAGAGUGUGUCAGAGGGGGGUAGAAUUCCACGUGUAGCAGUGAAAUGCGUAGAGAUGUGGAGGAAUACCGAUGGCGAAGGCAGCCCCCUGGGAUAACACUGACGCUCAUGCACGAAAGCGUGGGGAGCAA
This 242-nucleotide ribosomal RNA is filed under the name uncultured Burkholderiaceae bacterium. RNAcentral's name for it is "partial 16S ribosomal RNA". It matches the Rfam family "Bacterial small subunit ribosomal RNA", at positions 530 to 771 of the family's 1533-position model. Lineage: Bacteria; Pseudomonadati; Pseudomonadota; Betaproteobacteria; Burkholderiales; Burkholderiaceae. The record is from RNAcentral.